RNAcentral lists this small RNA (1091 nucleotides) under Histoplasma ohiense. RNAcentral's name for it is "hypothetical lncRNA". Lineage: Eukaryota; Fungi; Ascomycota; Eurotiomycetes; Onygenales; Ajellomycetaceae. The record is from RNAcentral.
AACCAAUUUACCCCACUGCUGCUAAUCUAUCGCCGCUGCUAAGCUAUCCCUCACUACUAAGCUAUCUAUCGCUGCUAAUCUAUCGCUGCCAACCUAUCUAUCGCUGCCAACCUAUCUAUUGCUGCAAGCUAUCCCUCACUGCAAGCUAUCCCUCACUGCAAGCUAUCCCUCGCUGCAAGCUAUCCCUCGCUGCUAAGCUAUCCUUCGCUGCUAAGCUAUCCCUCACUGGCUAAGCUAUCCCUCGCUGGCUAUCCCUCACUGCUAAGCUAUCCCUCACUACUAAGCUAUCUAUCACUGCUAAUCUAUCGCUGCCAACCUAUCUAUCGCUGCCAAUUUAUCUACCACUGCCAAUCUAUCUAUCACUGCUAAUCUAUCACUGCUGUCAAUCUAUCUAUCACUGCUAAUCUAUCUAUUGCUGCUAAUCUAUCACUGCUAAUCUAUCGCUGCUGCCAAUCUAUCGCUGCUAAUCUAUUGCUGCUGCCAAUCUAUCUAUCACUGCUAAUCUAUCACUGCUAAUCUAUCGCUGCUGCCAAUCUAUCACUGCUAAUCUAUUGCUGCUAAUCUAUUGCUGCUGCCAAUCUAUCUAUCACUGCUAAUCUAUCACUGCUAAUCUAUCGCUGCUGCCAAUCUAUCGCUGCUAAUUUAUUGCUGCUGCCAAUCUAUCUAUCACUGCUAAUCUAUUGCUGCUAAUCUAUCGCUGCUAAUCUAUCACUGCUAAUCUAUCGCUGCCAACCUAUCUACCGCGGCGAAUCUAUCUAUUGCUGCCAACCAACCUACCUACCACUGCCAACCUAUCUAUCGCUGCCAAUCUAUUGCUGCCAAUCUAUCGCUGCCAAUCUAUCUACUGCAGUGAAUCUAUCUAUCACUAUCAUUACUAGUUCAAAAUAGAACUAAAGCAUAAAUACACUAAACUUCUUUUAAUAGAUAAUGAUUUUUGAUAACACUCAUAGCAUUAUAUCAUCUAUAUAGAGUAAAUCAUGAUCUCAUAAUUUAUAAGAAGAACAUGAUCUGAGACUAGAUUUAUAAUAUAAACAGUGUAAAGUGACUAAUUUAAUAAUGUCGGAACUGAAUAAAGUCCGAAUAUUGACCCA